This 351-nucleotide unclassified non-coding RNA is filed under the name soil metagenome. RNAcentral describes it as "partial contains 5.8S ribosomal RNA, internal transcribed spacer 2, and large subunit ribosomal RNA". The stretch from base 1 to 120 matches the Rfam family "5.8S ribosomal RNA", at positions 35 to 154 of the family's 154-position model. The record is from RNAcentral.
GAUGAAGAACGCAGCGAAAUGCGAUAAGUAGUGUGAAUUGCAGAAUUCAGUGAAUCAUCGAAUCUUUGAACGCACAUUGCGCCCGCCAGUAUUCUGGCGGGCAUGCCUGUCUGAGCGUCAUUUCAACCCUCAGCCCCCGCUCGCGGGGCGCUGGCGUUGGGGAUCGGCCGUCCUCGCGGCGGCCGGCCCCGAAACACAGUGGCGGUCUCUCGCGGACUCCCCUGCGUAGUAGCACUACCUCGCAGAAGGGACGAGCGGGCUGACCACGCCGUAAAACCCCCCACUUCUCCAGGUUGACCUCAGAUCAGGUAGGAAUACCCGCUGAACUUAAGCAUAUCAAUAAGCGGAGGA